GGACUACACGGGUUUCUAAUCCUGUUUGCUCCCCACGCUUUCGUGCAUGAGCGUCAGUGUUGGCCCAGAAGGCUGCCUUCGCCAUCGGUGUUCCUCCACAUCUCUACGCAUUUCACCGCUACACGUGGAAUUCCACCUUCCUCUGCCACACUCCAGCUCCGUAGUUUCGAGCGCAAUUCCCAAGUUAAGCUCGGGGCUUUCACACUCGACUUGCAGAGCCGCCUGCGCACACUUUACGCCCAGUAAUUCCGAUUAACGCUCGCACCCUACGUAUUACCGCGGCUGCUGGCAC
Molecule: ribosomal RNA, 292 nt
Filed under: uncultured bacterium
Lineage: Bacteria
Description: partial 16S ribosomal RNA
Source: RNAcentral